UGGCCCUCAGAAUGUGUGUGUAUAUAUAUAUAUAUAUAUAUAUAUAUAUAUAUAUAUAUACACACACACAGAGGGUCAAGUGACUU
This is a non-coding RNA of Pelobates cultripes (western spadefoot toad), 86 nucleotides long. The record is from the annotation of a GenBank genome assembly. NCBI's taxonomy places the organism in Eukaryota, Metazoa, Chordata, Amphibia, Anura, Pelobatidae.